GGAGAGUGUGAGUAUACUCAGUCAUGACGUACCGCAGAGAGCACGCUACUCGUGCAGCAGCGCGUAUACGAGGUGCAGCGUAUCGAUACUGGCGUAAGCGCACGCAGCGGUCUGUCAAGUCGAUGUGAAAUCCCGGGCUCACCUGGGAACUGCAUCGAAACUGGCAGGCUAGAGUCUGUAGAGGGGGGGUAGAAUCCAGGUGUAGCGGUGAAAUGCUGUAGAAAAUUCCGAGGAUACGGUGGCGAAGGCGGCCCCCUGGACAAAGACUGACGCUCAGGUGCGAAAGCGUGGGAGCAAACCCAGAUUAGAUACCCUGGUAGUCACGCCGUAAACGAUGUCGACUUGGAGGUUGUGCCCUGAGGCGUGGCUUCCGGAGCUAACGCGUUAAGUCGACCGCCUGGGGAGUACGGCCGCAAGGUUAAAACUCAAAUGAAUUGACGGGGGCCCGCACAAGCGGUGGAGCAUGUGGUUUAAUUCGAUGCAACGCGAAGAACCUUACCUACUCUUGACAUCCAGAGAACUUUCCAGAGAUGGAUUGGUGCCUUCGGGAACUCUGAGACAGGUGCUGCAUGGCUGUCGUCAGCUCGUGUUGUGAAAUGUUGGGUUAAGUCCCGCAACGAGCGCAACCCUUAUCCUUUGUUGCCAGCGGUUCGGCCGGGAACUCAAAGGAGACUGCCAGUGAUAAACUGGAGGAAGGUGGGGAUGACGUCAAGUCAUCAUGGCCCUUACGAGUAGGGCUACACACGUGCUACAAUGGCGCAUACAAAGAGAAGCGACCUCGCGAGAGCAAGCGGACCUCAUAAAGUGCGUCGUAGUCCGGAUUGGAGUCUGCAACUCGACUCCAUGAAGUCGGAAUCGCUAGUAAUCGUAGAUCAGAAUGCUACGGUGAAUACGUUCCCGGGCCUUGUACACACCCCCCGUCACACCAUGGGAGUGGGUUGCAAAAGAAGUAGGUAGCUUUACCUUCGGGAGAGCGCAUAAUAAAUAUCGAAUAAAAGCC
RNAcentral lists this ribosomal RNA (1000 nucleotides) under Cedecea sp. Its description in RNAcentral is "bacterial SSU rRNA". It matches the Rfam family "Bacterial small subunit ribosomal RNA", at positions 446 to 1476 of the family's 1533-position model. Lineage: Bacteria; Pseudomonadati; Pseudomonadota; Gammaproteobacteria; Enterobacterales; Enterobacteriaceae. The record is from RNAcentral.